This 471-nucleotide ribosomal RNA is filed under the name uncultured bacterium. Its description in RNAcentral is "SSU rRNA". It matches the Rfam family "Bacterial small subunit ribosomal RNA", at positions 26 to 521 of the family's 1533-position model. The record is from RNAcentral.
AGGAUGAACGCUGGCGGCGUGCCUAACACAUGCAAGUCGAACGUCCUGUCUCGCAAGAGGCAGGGAGUGGCGGACGGGUGAGUACCACGUGGGUCAUCUACCGUGAGGUGAGGAAUACCGGCGAGAAAUCGCCGACAAGACCGCAUAGGCUCGAUGCAAGUCGAGCAAAGCUCUUUCGAGAGAGGGAGCGCCACACGAGGAGCCUGCGCCCGAUUAGCUAGCUGGUGGAGUAACGGUUCACCAGGGCGACGAUCGGUAGCUGGUCUGAGAGGACGAUCAGCCACACUGGGAUUGAGAACGGCCCAGACUCCUACGGGGGCAGCAGUGAGGAAUUUCGUCAAUGGGGGCAACCCUGAACGAGCAACGCCGCGUGCAGGAAGAGGUUUCGGAUCGUAAACUGCUUUUCGUCGGGAAGAGAAUGGACGGUACCCGAGGAAUCAGCCCGGCUAACUACGCGCCAGCAGCCGCGGU